GCUGUGGCUCAGCGGUAGAACAUCUGUUUGGCAUGCAGAAGGUCCCAGGUUCAAUUCCUGACAUCUCCA
Molecule: transfer RNA, 69 nt
Filed under: Sphaerodactylus townsendi
Lineage: Eukaryota; Metazoa; Chordata; Lepidosauria; Squamata; Sphaerodactylidae
Description: tRNA-Ala
Rfam family: tRNA
About the family: Transfer RNA (tRNA) molecules are approximately 80 nucleotides in length. Their secondary structure includes four short double-helical elements and three loops (D, anti-codon, and T loops).
Source: RNAcentral